GAAUGAACGCUGGCGGCGCGCCUAAUACAUGCAAGUCGAGCGAGAAGACGUAGCAAUACGUUUGUAAAGCGGCGAACGGGUGAGGAAUACAUGGGUAACCUACCCUCGAGUGGGGAAUAACUAGCCGAAAGGUUAGCUAAUACCGCGUACGCUCCUUGGACUUCGGUUCAGGGAGGAAAGCGAUACCGUGGGUAUCGCGCUCUUGGUUGGGCCCAUGUCCUAUCAGCUUGUGGUGAGGAACGGCUCACCAAGGCUUCGACGGUAGCUGGUCUGAGAGGACGAUCAGCCACACUGGCACUGCGACACGGGCCAGGACUCCUACGGGAGC
Molecule: ribosomal RNA, 328 nt
Filed under: uncultured bacterium
Lineage: Bacteria
Description: bacterial SSU rRNA
Rfam family: Bacterial small subunit ribosomal RNA
Source: RNAcentral